Salarias fasciatus (jewelled blenny) is the source of this 693-nucleotide long non-coding RNA. RefSeq lists it as uncharacterized. NCBI's taxonomy places the organism in Eukaryota, Metazoa, Chordata, Actinopteri, Blenniiformes, Blenniidae. The record is from RefSeq and is a predicted model, not a curated record. The transcript is spliced from 3 exons.
GGUGGAAGCGGAAUUAGUGAGGAUCACUCCUUGUCCCCUUGUGUCAGAGUUCCAACAUACUGCCCAGCUGAUCAGUGUUCCAGGAGAAAGGAGGCUCUGCAGGAACUAAUAGCAGCAGGAUUUUGCUCCCAAUCACACAGAAUGAAACUGUUGAAAAGAGGAGGGAGUGCAUCGUUGCAGCACUUGAAUGAAGACCCAGACAUCCUCUUCGACGAAUACCUGCUUGAGGAUUCUGAUGGCACUGCUGCACAGAGGAAGCUGGAGCAGCUUACCCUUGGCAUCUACACCAUCAAAGUGGAGGGAGGUGAUGCCACCACUCCUCCUGCUGAGGUUGGAAUUGUGAUCGAGGGUGUUGAAGUUCUGCAUGACCUGGGAGACGUCGCCUCUGCAUGUGCACUCUUAAUGGGUGGAAUACAUGCACUGAACUGCAGUUAUCCUGAGGAAGUGAAGACAUUCUUUGAGGUACUUCAGAAGCUCUUCCUUCAGCUCGAUGCUGGCAAACUCUCAGCCAAGGUACAGAUGCUCAAGAACAAACUGUAUCAACAAUUGAUUUGGAUGCUGAUUGUGAAUAAAAUGAUCUGUUGGAAAAUGGAGGAAAAAAAAGUCACUUCAGAAAAAUGAACAAACAUUUGGAGAAGUUUUGGGAAACUGCUUCCAUAAGUCAAAAAUGAUAGUGGAGCGGGGUUCCCACAC